This 65-nucleotide transfer RNA is filed under the name Halidaya aurea. Its description in RNAcentral is "tRNA-Gly". Lineage: Eukaryota; Metazoa; Arthropoda; Insecta; Diptera; Tachinidae. The record is from RNAcentral.
AUCUAUAUAAUAUAAAAAGUAUAUUUGACUUCCAAUCAUAAAGUCUAUUAAAUAGUAUAGAUAAC